RNAcentral lists this ribosomal RNA (207 nucleotides) under uncultured Syntrophaceae bacterium. RNAcentral's name for it is "partial 16S ribosomal RNA". It matches the Rfam family "Bacterial small subunit ribosomal RNA", at positions 568 to 774 of the family's 1533-position model. The record is from RNAcentral. Lineage: Bacteria; Pseudomonadati; Thermodesulfobacteriota; Syntrophia; Syntrophales; Syntrophaceae.
CGUGUAGGCGGCUUGACAAGUCAGAUGUGAAAUCCCUGGGCUUAACCCAGGAAGUGCAUUUGAAACUGUCUUGCUCGAGUAAGGGAGAGGAAAGUGGAAUUCCUGGUGUAGAGGUGAAAUUCGUAGAUAUCAGGAGGAACACCGGUGGCGAAGGCGACUUUCUGGCCCUAUACUGACGCUGAGACGCGAAAGCGUGGGUAGCAAACA